GGGGAAUCUUAGACAAUGGGGGAAACCCUGAUCUAGCGAUGCCGCGUGAGUGAAGAAGGCCUUAGGGUUGUAAAGCUCUUUCAACUGUGAAGAUAAUGACGGUAACAGUAGAAGAAGCACCGGCUAACUCCGUGCCAGCAGCCGCGGUAAGACGGAGGGUGCUAGCGUUGUUCGGAAUAACUGGGCGUAAAGGGCGCGUAGGCGGUCGGGUCAGUUAGAUGUGAAAGCCCCGGGCUUAACCUGGGAACUGCAUUUAAUACUGCCAGACUAGAGUGCGAGAGAGGAAAGUGGAAUUCCUAGUGUAGAGGUGAAAUUCGUAGAUAUUAGGAGGAACACCAGAGGCGAAGGCGGCUUUCUGGCUCGCAACUGACGCUGAGGCGCGAAAGCGUGGGGAGCAAAC
Molecule: ribosomal RNA, 400 nt
Filed under: uncultured bacterium
Lineage: Bacteria
Description: bacterial SSU rRNA
Rfam family: Bacterial small subunit ribosomal RNA
Source: RNAcentral